CUAAGGGCCUGGUUCCAGUAAAAGCAGGAGGUAUCAGUCGCUCUCCUGCCUACUCUGUUCUUCUUCCCCUUGCCUCUGUUCUCAGCUGCUUGAUCUUUUCCUCCUUUGCGUCACUGUGGCACUCAUCUGUUCGUACGGCAUUUCCAUGGCAGGUACUCACAUCAAGGGAAAAACAGGCAGCGUAAUAAUGGAUGUGACAGUCUGCAAAAUGCUGUGUGCUGUGUCAAAAUAAUCCAGUCCAUAACCAAGAUACCCUCUGGAUGCCACCACCUCAUUGGAAGACAAGGAACAGGCAGUAGAAGACAUAAGAAGUGUUCUGAGAAGAGAGACACAGGAUAUGGCAGUAUUAUUGUCAACUUUAAUUUCAGUAUUUUUGGAUUUUCAUGUUCUGGUUAGCUGUUGAAGAAAAUGGAGAGAACAUAAGUAACCCCUAAGAAAGCAUGUAUUUUCAAGUCUUCAAUGUGAAAACUUCAUUUAUGAUUAAUUGUGGGUAAUGCAGUUGGAUGGUUUGCACAUGGUCAGAAAGCUUUUCUAUUUAAUCCCUUAGUGUGAUGUUUACUUCUUUCUUUAAAAAAUAAAAAUAAAAAAAAUAGCUUUUAUGUUUGUACA
This 609-nucleotide long non-coding RNA is filed under the name Coturnix japonica (Japanese quail). RNAcentral describes it as "lncRNA (ENSCJPG00005013361.1)". The record is from RNAcentral. Lineage: Eukaryota; Metazoa; Chordata; Aves; Galliformes; Phasianidae.